Molecule: ribosomal RNA, 276 nt
Filed under: uncultured soil bacterium
Lineage: Bacteria
Description: partial 16S ribosomal RNA
Rfam family: Bacterial small subunit ribosomal RNA
Source: RNAcentral
AGAACGAACGCUGGCGGCAUGCCUAACACAUGCAAGUCGAACGAGACCUUCGGGUCUAGUGGCGCACGGGUGCGUAACGCGUGGGAAUCUGCCCUUGGGUUCGGAAUAACAGUUGGAAACGACUGCUAAUACCGGAUGAUGACGUAAGUCCAAAGAUUUAUCGCCCAGGGAUGAGCCCGCGUAGGAUUAGCUAGUUGGUGAGGUAAAGGCUCACCAAGGCGACGAUCCUUAGCUGGUCUGAGAGGAUGAUCAGCCACACUGGGACUGAGACACCGG